GUGAGGAAUAUUGGUCAAUGGGCGAGAGCCUGAACCAGCCAAGUCGCGUGAAGGAAGAAGGAUCUAUGGUUCGUAAACUUCUUUUGCAGGGGAAUAAAGUGCAGGACGUGUCCUGUUUUGUAUGUACCCUGAGAAUAAGGAUCGGCUAACUCCGUGCCAGCAGCCGCGGUAAUACGGAGGAUCCGAGCGUUAUCCGGAUUUAUUGGGUUUAAAGGGUGCGUAGGUGGUUUGAUAAGUCAGCGGUGAAAGUUUGCAGCUUAACUGUAAAAAUGCCGUUGAAACAGUCGGACUUGAGUGUAAAUGAGGUAGGCGGAAUGCGUGGUGUAGCGGUGAAAUGCAUAGAUAUCACGCAGAACUCCGAUUGCGAAGGCAGCUUACUAAGCUACAACUGACACUGAAGCACGAAAGCGUGGGGAUCAAACAGGAUUAGAUACCCGGGUAGUCC
RNAcentral lists this ribosomal RNA (445 nucleotides) under uncultured bacterium. RNAcentral describes it as "partial 16S ribosomal RNA". It matches the Rfam family "Bacterial small subunit ribosomal RNA", at positions 354 to 796 of the family's 1533-position model. The record is from RNAcentral.